RNAcentral lists this transfer RNA (66 nucleotides) under Cherax monticola. Its description in RNAcentral is "tRNA-Asp". The record is from RNAcentral. Lineage: Eukaryota; Metazoa; Arthropoda; Malacostraca; Decapoda; Parastacidae.
ACAGAAAUUAGUUAAGAAAUAACAUUAGUUUGUCAGGCUAAAGUAAUCACAUUCAUGAUAUUUUUG